This 438-nucleotide ribosomal RNA is filed under the name Lambiella caeca. RNAcentral's name for it is "eukaryotic LSU rRNA". The stretch from base 80 to 233 matches the Rfam family "5.8S ribosomal RNA". The record is from RNAcentral. Lineage: Eukaryota; Fungi; Ascomycota; Lecanoromycetes; Baeomycetales; Xylographaceae.
ACCACGGUGGACGUGUGCCCGUCAGAGACCCCUAAAAACUCGUUUAAUUAGUGAUGUCCGAGUGAAACGCAAUAGUUAAAACUUUCAACAACGGAUCUCUUGGUUCUGGCAUCGAUGAAGAACGCAGCGAAAUGCGAUAAGUAAUGUGAAUUGCAGAAUUCAGUGAAUCAUCGAAUCUUUGAACGCACAUUGCGCCCUCUGGUAUUCCGGGGGGCAUGCCUGUUCGAGCGUCAUUACACCCCUCAAGCACUGCUUGGUAUUGAGCGAUCGUCCUCCGGGACGCGCCCGAAAAUUAGCGGCGACGCGGUCGGUCUUCGUGCGUAGUAAAACUUCUGUUUCGCAUUGCGGCCCGGGCGUGUCCGCCGGACAACCCCUUAAUUUUUCAAUGAUUGACCUCGGAUCAGGUAGGGAUACCCGCUGAACUUAAGCAUAUCAAUA